GCCAGGCAUGGUGGCGGGUGCCUGUAAUCCCAGCUACUCAGGAGGCUGAGGCAGGAGAAUCUCUUGAACCCAGGAGGCAGAGAUUGCAGUGAGCCAAGAUCAUGCCAUUGCACUCUAGCCUGGGUGACAGAGCGAGACUCUGUCUCAA
Molecule: unclassified non-coding RNA, 148 nt
Organism: Macaca mulatta (Rhesus monkey)
Lineage: Eukaryota; Metazoa; Chordata; Mammalia; Primates; Cercopithecidae
Rfam family: Metazoan signal recognition particle RNA
About the family: The signal recognition particle (SRP) is a universally conserved ribonucleoprotein. It is involved in the co-translational targeting of proteins to membranes.
Source: Ensembl